RNAcentral lists this transfer RNA (72 nucleotides) under Actinomycetes bacterium. RNAcentral describes it as "tRNA-Asn". It matches the Rfam family "tRNA". Rfam says of the family: Transfer RNA (tRNA) molecules are approximately 80 nucleotides in length. Their secondary structure includes four short double-helical elements and three loops (D, anti-codon, and T loops). RNAcentral also lists the same sequence under 4 other names. Lineage: Bacteria; Bacillati; Actinomycetota; Actinomycetes. The record is from RNAcentral.
UCCGGGGUAGCUCAAUGGCAGAGCGAACGACUGUUAAUCGUUAGGUUGUGGGUUCGAGUCCCACCCCCGGAG